This 120-nucleotide ribosomal RNA is filed under the name Petromyzon marinus (sea lamprey). The record is from RNAcentral. Lineage: Eukaryota; Metazoa; Chordata; Hyperoartia; Petromyzontiformes; Petromyzontidae.
CCAUACGACCAAAUCACCUGGAAUGUGCCUAGUCUCAUCCGAUCUCAUAAGCUAAGCAGGUGUGAGCCUGGACAAUGCUUGAAUGUGCAACCACCAUGCAUAACACUGGUGUUUUAGGCU